UCCCUAGUGCCUCAGUUGGUAAAGAAUCUGCCUGCAAUGCAGGAGACCCAGGUUUGACCCCUGGGUCGGGAA
Molecule: transfer RNA, 72 nt
Filed under: Ovis aries (sheep)
Lineage: Eukaryota; Metazoa; Chordata; Mammalia; Artiodactyla; Bovidae
Rfam family: tRNA
About the family: Transfer RNA (tRNA) molecules are approximately 80 nucleotides in length. Their secondary structure includes four short double-helical elements and three loops (D, anti-codon, and T loops). Further hydrogen bonds mediate the characteristic L-shaped molecular structure. tRNAs have two regions of fundamental functional importance: the anti-codon, which is responsible for specific mRNA codon recognition, and the 3' end, to which the tRNAs corresponding amino acid is attached (by aminoacyl-tRNA synthetases). tRNAs cope with the degeneracy of the genetic code in two manners: having more than one tRNA (with a specific anti-codon) for a particular amino acid; and 'wobble' base-pairing, i.e. permitting non-standard base-pairing at the 3rd anti-codon position.
Source: Rfam by way of RNAcentral